AUAUGCGUAUAUGACAGGAUGUGAUCGUGAAGUGGGCGGAGCUUAAAGCCUUGCUAAAUUUUAAAUAACGAUGUGAUCGUGAAGUGGGCGGAGCUUAAAGCCUUGCUAAAUUUUAAAUAACGUGGUGGUCGUAAGUGGACAAACAGUCAGCAGUAAACCGUUUUAUUUAUCUCUUUUCUCCACUCACAACCAGCACAUGACCUGAAAGUUAGCAUCUUUUCAGAAAUAUACGACGAUGAUGCGAUUGUGAAGUGGGCGGAGCUUAAAGCAUUCUUCCGAGAUGCUCAUUUUAAGAUAAUGCAGUGGUCACAAGUGGACAAAAACUCAAGAGAAAAAGGUUUUUGUCCACUCAUGACCACCACAUGACUGGAAACACGGCAGCUUUUUCAGAGACAUGACGUGAUCGUGAGGUGGGCGGAGCUUAAAACCUUUGAAGUUUAGAGUUUCCACAUUGAACCGCGUUUCAGAUAAUCUGGUAGUUGCAAAAACUCAACAGGCACCUUGUAUAAGCUUUACGACAUGAUGUGAUUGUGAUUGUGAAGUGGGCGGAGCUUGACACAUUCUUAAAAGCAACCAAAACACUGAAAUAAACAGAUUUUUCUUGAUUUUUUUCAUUCUUUGUUAGUUGUUGUUGUUUAUUUUCCCCCUCAUUUGCUCUGAAUGCAUUUUGAUCCAAUAAUUUGAUCCAAAUUAAAGGACAACAUUAUUUAUUUGUUCUCACUGUUAUUAUUAUUUUAUAUAUUUGUUUUACUAUUAUACAUAUAUUAUAUAUAGCACAGCUGAUACCACCCAAGUUCGCUGUACACACACAUAUAACCGUAUAUUAAUAAAAAUAUUGUUAUUUAUUAUUGCCAUUUCUCAAUCUAUUCUAUUUCUACCGUUUGUCUUCGAGCUUAUUUUCUUCUGUUUUGAAACUACUUUAGUCAUAAAAGGUGUUCAUUAAAUAACGUUCACUUGACAUUGAGAUUUUCUUUGCGGUAUUUCGACUCAUAGCGCUAAUCAAUAAACACAAACCUGACUAGCACUGACACCAUCGUAACUUUAUGUACAAUAAUAAUCUGCUACACACAUAGUAUUACUGAUAAAUAAUCCAUUAUAGCUUUAUCACACACACACACACACACACACA
Ictalurus punctatus (channel catfish) is the source of this 1129-nucleotide long non-coding RNA. Lineage: Eukaryota; Metazoa; Chordata; Actinopteri; Siluriformes; Ictaluridae. The record is from Ensembl.